UGUCAUUUCCUUCCUCUGUUGGGAGCCACACACUGAGGCAGUUGAAUUAGUAACAUAUCAUGCAGUGAGUUAGUUACACUACAAAUCUACUUAAAAAAUGCAGAAAGGUCUUGAAAAUCUUCAUAAUACUAGAAAUACUAUAUUGGCUUAAAGUCUGCAAAAAGAGGUGAAAUUUAUGGGAGCAAUUUUACUAGCAUUUAGUAGGCAGCAAAAAAAAAAAAAUUAAAAAGGGCAAUAUAAUUUAAUAGUUACAGUAUAAACAAAACACUGAUUCUCAAGGAUAUGACUACAAAUUAGUGUGUAAGUGUAUAUAUAAUCUGAUUGUUUCGGUUUUCCUUGGUUAUUUCUCAGAUUUACUCAUCAAAACUUCAUAAAAUAAGCUAAAUGUUGGUUGCAUGAAUGAUUUUGUGGAUUUUAAUGAAAGGAUGGGUUUCAAUGUAGCCUCAAGUUAGACCACCCAUCUACUCAGGUUAUAUUGGGAUAAAGCCAUAAUUGGUCAAUUUUUUUUUAUAAAUUUGACGCAUUGAAUUUGUAUUAAAAGAAAAAACAUCCCUAUAAGCAAAAAAAUUAAACAUGAUUAAAUUUUCUUUUCAUUAUUUCUAGUGGGGUCAAUACAGAGAAAAAUCCAAAAGUAGUAGUUGCACCCAGCCGUUUGACAAAACUAUAUAAAGCAAUGUUUUAAAUACGAAUAAUCAAUAGAAAAGUGCGCGUGACAUCACCUUCAAUUUGGCCUUCCUGCUAGCAUCCAGAUGUUAGAUUCAUUCAGAUAUUAAACUUUCCCUUUUUUUCCCGUAAGUUACGUCAAAAUUUCAAAACCGUAAGGAUCAAUUGUAUUCUAUAAUAUUAAUAGCAUUAGCAUUUAGUACUGUCCUUGCUUGACUAUCCGUCACCUUGAAAUUUAAGGCACCGUGAAAGCAAAAGCAGGCAGAAAAUUAUGCAACACGAAAAACUCGAGUUAGGUGGAAGAAAGCAAAAUAAAUCAAAUUCCAGCAACAACCCAAAACCAGUAAAAGCAUUGAAUCACUGCUGUAGCCUCCAAUAUGUGAAUAAAAUCCACGUUGGAUCUUUUUUUUUAUAUACUUCUGAUAAAGCAAUCAGCAAACAGCCAACAUUGGCAGCUGCUCCACCCCACAACAUGCAUAACUAAGUCAAAGCUUCUAAUCCUAACGUUAAGGAAUGGGGAAGAAAUCUCAUCGUUCCAUAUCCAACCUACCCAAGAAGCUGAGGCAGCAAUACACUUGUACCAGAUUACCUGGUGCGAUCAGACAAAAAAAAGAUUAUCAGGUGUGAACAGAAGACCAUUUCACACCCUUUUAGAAAAUGACAUGAAUGAAGAUAACAAUAACAACAGCAGGAAUUUAAAAUCAUGAUUUUGAAAAUAAAUGUCAUUUAUUUCUAACUUGUGGCUUUUGGUAUAUCCUCCAACCAUGGGAUCGAGAACAAUGACAUUUAACCUUAAAAUUUGAAUAAGGAUGAAGCAGUGUCUGCAAAGUAGGAAAAUUAAUGUCCAUGAAUUCAGAGAGAACUAUGCAAACAGAAAACCUCUGCAAAUCAAAACCAACCUUUUCCAACUUUUCUCAAUGGCUGAUGCUGUAAGAUUGAUCCUUCUUAUAUAUUUCCAUUUGUCCAUCAUUUCCUUCAACUUAGCUCAAGAUGUAGACCAAUUCGUCUAUAAUGGCUUCCUGGGAGCUAACCUCCAUCUUGAUGGAAUUGCAGAAAUCCAUCCCAAUGGGCUGUUGCAGCUAACCAAUACUUCAAAGCAGAAAAUGGGUCAUGCCUUCUAUCGGUUACCUCUGAAAUUCAGUUCAAAUUCAGCCAGUUCAUCUGAAUCUAUGUCAUUUUCCACUAUCUUCGUGUUUGUCAUGGUUCCUGAGAUGCAAAAUCUUAGUGGCCACGGCAUAGCGUUCACUAUCUCACCAUCCUUGGACUUCAGCCUUGCUGUAGCAAGUCAGUAUUUGGGACUCCUCAACACUUCAAACGAUGGUCUUUCUACCAACCACAUUUUAGCAGUUGAACUUGAUACCAUUCGUAGCCCCGACGUUCAAGACGCAAAUGAAAACCAUGUGGGAAUUGAUGUGAACAGCCUGAAUUCUAUUGAAUCAGCUUCAGCAACUUAUUUUUCCAAUACAGAAGGGAAAAAUAGGAGCUUGAAUCUCGUUAGUGGAGAUCCCAUACAGGUUUGGAUAGACUAUAAUGAAACAGAAACAUUACUCAAUGUGACUCUAGCUCCAAUUAGUAGCCCAAAACCAAACCAACUGCUCUUGUCAACAUCCAUCAAUCUUUCUGAAAUUCUUCUGGAAUCCAUGUAUGUUGGUUUUUCUGCAGCAACUGGAACACUUGCAAGUGACCACUAUAUUCUAGGAUGGAGCUUCAACAAAGCUGGAAGAGCACAAAGCCUUGAUAUUUCAAAGCUUCCUUCGCUUCCUCCACGUAGGAAAGCAGAAAAGAAACCGGGAGUGAUGAUUAUAGUUAUACUUGCAACAGUAAUAGCUGUUCUUAUAACAAUAACUGUAGGUAUUUACAUUGUAAGGAGGAAGAAAUAUGAGGAAAUACGUGAAGAUUGGGAAAGGGAAUAUGGCCCUCAAAGAUUCUCCUAUAAGAAUCUCUACAAAGCAACCAAAGGCUUUAAAGACAAGGAGCUACUUGGAGCAGGAGGUUUUGGAAAGGUUUAUAAAGGAGUACUCCCUUCUUCAAAUUUACAAGUUGCAGUGAAGAAAGUCUCACAUGAUUCAAAACAAGGGAUGAAGGAAUUUGUUGCUGAGAUUGUCAGCAUUGGAAGGCUGAGGCACAGGAACCUGGUGCAACUCCUUGGCUACUGCAGGCGACAGGGGGAGCUUCUGUUGGUCUAUGAUUACAUGCCUAAUGGAAGCCUUGACAAGUUUUUGUUUACCAACGAAAAACCAGUCCUCAAUUGGUCUCAAAGAUUUCAAAUCCUCAAAGGAGUGGCAUCUGGCCUUCUUUACCUCCAUGAGGAGUG
Molecule: unclassified non-coding RNA, 2977 nt
Filed under: Hevea brasiliensis (rubber tree)
Lineage: Eukaryota; Viridiplantae; Streptophyta; Magnoliopsida; Malpighiales; Euphorbiaceae
Source: RNAcentral